Long non-coding RNA from Leptinotarsa decemlineata (Colorado potato beetle), 557 nucleotides. The record is from RefSeq and is a predicted model, not a curated record. Lineage: Eukaryota; Metazoa; Arthropoda; Insecta; Coleoptera; Chrysomelidae.
UUUGUAACUUUCACCAGUUACCUUUUUUUCAGUUAUGUUCAAGCAAAUACUCAAACUGGACAAGAGUUUGGGACGACGAACAAAAAAAUCCUUACAAAUACAAAGGAAAUCAAUGGAUAGGAUACGAUGAUGAAAAGUCUAUCAGGAAAAAGGCUCAGUAUGUAGUUUCUCAGAAAUUGGCUGGUAUCAUGAUCUGGCAGAUUGGGCAAGACGAUGUAUCAGGAGACUGUGGAGAAAAACAAAUACUUCUGAAGAUAAUAAAUGAAGAAUUGAAACAAAAACCAUAGAAUGAAAUGUUCGAUGAAAUCAUAUUGACUGACAUUUCAAAGAUAACUUCAAUGAAACUAAAUAUUUGUCAUUUUUAUCCAUCACAAGUUAGUUCACAAUUUUUUGACAUUUGUCGAAUUACAGGAAAAGUUUAUUAUCAAAUCAAUGUCUUCAUUAAAAUUUCUCAUAGAAGACAGUUCACUCAGGUAUUUUUCUUGUUAUUUAUUUUGUACAGUAUUAUUGUAUUUAUUAUUGUUUUAAUAGUCAAUAAAUAGUCUAUUCGGAAUCAA